This 429-nucleotide ribosomal RNA is filed under the name Chloroflexota bacterium. RNAcentral's name for it is "Chloroflexi bacterium partial 16S ribosomal RNA". It matches the Rfam family "Bacterial small subunit ribosomal RNA", at positions 355 to 776 of the family's 1533-position model. The record is from RNAcentral. Lineage: Bacteria; Bacillati; Chloroflexota.
UGGGGAAUAUUGCACAAUGGGCGCAAGCCUGAUGCAGCCAUGCCGCGUGUAUGAAGAAGGCCUUCGGGUUGUAAAGUACUUUCAGUCGGGAGGAAGGUGGUAAGGUUAAUAACCUUAUCAAUUGACGUUACCGACAGAAGAAGCACCGGCUAACUCCGUGCCAGCAGCCGCGGUAAUACGGAGGGUGCAAGCGUUAAUCGGAAUUACUGGGCGUAAAGCGCACGCAGGCGGUUGAUUGAGUCAGAUGUGAAAUCCCCGGGCUUAACCCGGGAAUUGCAUCUGAUACUGGUCAGCUAGAGUCUUGUAGAGGGGGGUAGAAUUCCAUGUGUAGCGGUGAAAUGCGUAGAGAUGUGGGGGAAUACCGGUGGCGAAGGCGGCCCCCUGGACAAAGACUGACGAUCAGGUGCGAAAGCGUGGGGAGCAAACAGG